Molecule: long non-coding RNA, 1713 nt
Organism: Equus caballus (horse)
Lineage: Eukaryota; Metazoa; Chordata; Mammalia; Perissodactyla; Equidae
Source: RefSeq, a predicted model, not a curated record
UGCCCACCCUCACCCCAAUCUCUGCCACACUCCCCAAAUCUCAAGAAAGCCACCUGGGUGACAGACCAGAGGCUGGGGGUCUCUGGCAGGGCGUGGGGAGACCUAAGUGGGCGCCUCCCCAUCCUGAGGUGGGUAGGGAGCCAAGGGUCACAUCGACAGGUGGGCAAAGCUUUCAUUGUCCCUGCCCCCUACUGCUCCCCCAAAAUGAAGGUGAAGAGAUGACCCACUCCAGCCCCUCGGCACCCCAACAGUGUUCAAGACCCACAGUCUCAGGACCCCAGAUCUGCCCCCAAGAGCUCGCCUCUGGCCCUGCCCACCCUCGCCGCCCUCCACCGCCCCACUGAGAGGGAACCCCCAGGGGCCCAACGGUCCCAACUGCCAGGCUCUGGGUUGCCAUGGCAACAGAGGCUGGCCAGGGAGGGGGAGGUGCUCACUGUUUGUGCUUUGUUCGAUGAUGGGUGGGGGUCAGCAAGGGGGAGUGGCCGUUUCCAUGGAAACAUGGGAGCCCCUCAGGCCAGGGGGUGGGGCAGGAUGGGUAGCCAAGAGGGGUUGGGGGGAAGCCCUCCUUCCUCUGGGCAGGCUAAGAAGCCGCCCCGGGAGCCCACGAGGGGGGUCAGGCAGGCAGGAGGCCAGGAUGUAGGGGCACAGGCAGGAAGGCCCCCAUCACACCCUGCCUCUCUGCUGCCCCCGGGCAUCACAGUUCACUGCCGCCCUUCUGGGAGGAGCAGGGAUCCAGGAGGCCCAGGAGGCUGGGGGCCGAGGUAUGGGGCCUGCACCUGAGACGCGGUGGGAGCUGGCCCAGCCGCUCUCCUCAGACCCCGUCACAGCUCCCAGGCUACUUGGAAGACACUUGAAGGGGGCUGGUGGAAUGUCCCCACGCCUCGGCUCCUUUCCUGUCAGUAGGACCCCCGCCUCUCGUGGGUGCUGGCACGGGGGCGAAGGCCCCACACGACAAAUCACAGCUCCCCGCUUGGGGGCGUGGCCAUGGGGCUUUCUGGAAGGGAAAAGCACCCACCUGCAUCAAGUGCCUCAGCCCCAAGAGACCACGGCUCUGGAAGCCCGCGAACUUCAGAAGAUUCCCGCGAGAGGCUGGAGAGCAGAGCUGCGAGAGGGAGCGCAAGAGACGAGAGUGGGAAGGAAGAGACCCAUCUGUCACCUUGUUCCUGAAAGGCAGCACCAAGAGGGGGUGACAGAUCAGUGCAAAGGCUCAGAGUGGCCCCUCGAAGCUCCAGCACGGGCCCCCAGCCCCUUCUCCACCCACGGGGCGGUCCCCUGUGCCAGGAGCACUCUAGAGUCCCUGUUACAUAAAAGAAGGGAGGACGAUGGGGGGCAAGAGGGGGAGGAGGGGGUGGGGGCCUGGAAGGAGGGAGACUGAAGAAAGGAGGAGGGAGGGGGAGGGGGACGGAGUCUGAGGACGGUGGGCAGAGAAGGGAGCCCAGAGAGUAACAGGUGAGGUCACAGACAGCCUCACACUCAUGCCCCAGCACACUCGUGUCCACACUGGUCCACCUGCCCGCACAAAGACCCACAUGCCCCUACACGAGCCCGAACUCCACGGCACACAGACACAGACAGGUGUACGACAAAUGGGCUUGUACACACAUGGCCACGUACCCGAGCGGGCACCCUCCCGUCCAGAUAAAGAAUUAAGACGCCCAGCAAAAGGCCGCCUCUCCUCCACGCCCCAAGAUAAAUAAUUCAUUUGUUGUGUAA